This 460-nucleotide ribosomal RNA is filed under the name uncultured bacterium. RNAcentral's name for it is "partial 16S ribosomal RNA". It matches the Rfam family "Bacterial small subunit ribosomal RNA", at positions 338 to 795 of the family's 1533-position model. The record is from RNAcentral.
ACUACGGGAGGCAGCAGUGAGGAAUAUUGGUCAAUGGGCGGAAGCCUGAACCAGCCAAGUAGCGUGCAGGAUGACGGCCCUACGGGUUGUAAACUGCUUUUAUACGGGAAUAACGCGCCUUACGUGUAGGGCUUUGCAUGUACCGUAUGAAUAAGGACCGGCUAAUUCCGUGCCAGCAGCCGAGGUAAUACGGAAGGUCCGGUCGUUAUCCGGAUUUAUUGGGGUUAACGGGAGCGUAGGCCGCAUGUCAAACGUGCUGUGCAAUGUCCGGGCUCAACCCGGGCCUUGCAGCGCGAACUGGCGUGCUUGAGUCCGCGGAAAGCAGGCGGAAUUCGUCGUGUAGCGGUGAAAUGAUUAGAUAUGACGAAGAACCCCGAUUGCGAAGGCAGCUUGCUGCAGCGGAACUGACGCUGAUGCUCGAAAGCGCGGGUAUCGAACAGGAUUAGAUACCCUUGUAGUC